RNAcentral lists this ribosomal RNA (372 nucleotides) under uncultured organism. RNAcentral's name for it is "partial 16S ribosomal RNA". It matches the Rfam family "Bacterial small subunit ribosomal RNA", at positions 527 to 896 of the family's 1533-position model. The record is from RNAcentral.
GUAGGUGGCAAGCGUUGUCCGGAAUUAUUGGGCGUAAAGCGCGCGCAGGCGGCUCUUUAAGUCUGAUGUGAAAGCCCACGGCUCAACCGUGGAGGGUCAUUGGAAACUGGAGAACCUGAGUACAGAAGAGGAAAGCGGAAUUCCACGUGUAGCGGUGAAAUGCGUAGAGAUGUGGAGGAACACCAGUGGCGAAGGCGGCUUUCUGGUCUGUAACUGACGCUGAGGCGCGAAAGCGUGGGGGAGCAAACAGGAUUAGAUACCCUGGUAGUCCACGCCGUAAACGAUGAGUGCUAAGUGUUAGGGGGUUUCCGCCCCUUAGUGCUGCAGCUAACGCAUUAAGCACUCCGCCCUGGGAGUACGGCCGCAAGGCUG